Dipodomys spectabilis (banner-tailed kangaroo rat) is the source of this 600-nucleotide long non-coding RNA. RefSeq lists it as uncharacterized. The transcript is spliced from 3 exons. The record is from RefSeq and is a predicted model, not a curated record. Lineage: Eukaryota; Metazoa; Chordata; Mammalia; Rodentia; Heteromyidae.
UCUGUCUACAUGUACACUUAGCCAUAUUGGGGGGGCGGUAUUUCUUGGGUAAGGAAGGGGCAGAGAUCAUUGGGCCCUGACAGGUGACCCUGCCUCCUUCACAAUGGAAUAGAACAUGGAACCCUGAUAGCAGGCCACGGUAACUCACAGUUGGCUCAAGCCAGCUCACUUGGCCUGUGACUCCGGAGCCAGAAACAUGUUCUUGUGCUGUAUUCGCAGGUCUCGAGACUCUGGUCUCAGCCAAGAGAAGGAUGGGUGCCUCAGUCAAAGCUGUAGACACUGGAUCAGUGGCAAGCCACGAAGCAACCAUCUCAGAGAUUUGUCCAAAAAGAAACCUAGGAAAUCACAAGGCAACUCAGGCAAGUGUGCUAAUGUGUGAGCCCUGACCCUGAAUGUGCCAUGCCAUAUAUGGAGCCCGGAGGCAGGCCUGCUGGACAUGUUGGUGAUGAACCUGGUCCCUGCCUACCAGAAAGGCGAUCUCUUCUAUGUUGGAAACUUCCUCCACAAUUAUAGACAGUGGGGGACAAUGGAGCAAGUGCUGGAUAUUGUGUUCAAAAAGUACAGAUUCCCGGGCCGUAACUCUGAGGAAGAUGAACAAGU